Molecule: unclassified non-coding RNA, 442 nt
Filed under: Hevea brasiliensis (rubber tree)
Lineage: Eukaryota; Viridiplantae; Streptophyta; Magnoliopsida; Malpighiales; Euphorbiaceae
Source: RNAcentral
GCAGACAGUUGUAGAGAGAAAGCCAAAGCAACCAAAUCCCAAGUUCAGGCUCAGCCUCAGGCUCAGGCUCAGGCCCAGACUGCUCUUCAACGCAGAUGCAGACGGCGGUAUCGCCACCCGCAACCUAGAGUUUCCUUUCUUCCGAUUACCUCUCUCAAUUCCCUUUCCCCUCCAUGGGGAUUCUCUCCUCUUUCCUCCUUACUACCUAGGGUUUUCCAUCUUCCUUCUCUUCUUUCCCUCUUUUGCAUGACACUUACCAAUUUCCUACCUACCUCCGAGAUCUGUCAUCAGAUUCCCUAGAAUGGCCUCCUCCGAGGUUUCGAUCAACCCCAAUUCCGCCUCCUUCAACGACCAUACCGAUUCUACCAAAGACACCUCCGAUCCACCCAACGCUCUCUCUGUCAGGGAUGCUGAUAUCGCCCUCUACACCGAGCUUUGGAAU